UGUCCAGACUCCUACGGGAGGCAGCAGUGAGGAAUAUUGGUCAAUGGCCGAGAGGCUGAACCAGCCAAGUCGCGUGAGGGAAGAAUGUCCUAUGGCUUGUAAACCUCUUUUGUCAGGGAGCAAAGUCACCCACGUGUGGGUGUUGGAGAGUACCUGAAGAAAAAGCAUCGGCUAACUCCGUGCCAGCAGCCGCGGUAAUACGGAGGAUGCGAGCGUUAUCCGGAUUUAUUGGGUUUAAAGGGUGCGUAGGCGGAAUGCCAAGUCAGCGGUAAAAUCGCGGGGCUCAACCUCGCUCCGCCGUUGAAACUGGGUGCCUUGAGUGGGCGAGAAGUACGCGGAAUGCGUGGUGUAGCGGUGAAAUGCAUAGAUAUCACGCAGAACUCCGAUUGCGAAGGCAGCGUACCGGCGCCCAACUGACGCUGAAGCACGAAGGCGUGGGUAUCGAACAGGAUUAGAUACCCCUGUA
This 466-nucleotide ribosomal RNA is filed under the name uncultured bacterium. Its description in RNAcentral is "bacterial SSU rRNA". It matches the Rfam family "Bacterial small subunit ribosomal RNA", at positions 328 to 792 of the family's 1533-position model. The record is from RNAcentral.